UGAGAACUGAAUUCCUUGGGUUGUAAUUGAAACACUGUCAGACCCAUGGGGCUCAGUUCUUCA
RNAcentral lists this microRNA precursor (63 nucleotides) under Sphenodon punctatus (tuatara). Its description in RNAcentral is "Spt-Mir-146-P4_pre stem-loop". The record is from RNAcentral. Lineage: Eukaryota; Metazoa; Chordata; Lepidosauria; Sphenodontia; Sphenodontidae.